RNAcentral lists this ribosomal RNA (394 nucleotides) under uncultured bacterium. RNAcentral's name for it is "bacterial SSU rRNA". It matches the Rfam family "Bacterial small subunit ribosomal RNA", at positions 30 to 421 of the family's 1533-position model. The record is from RNAcentral.
AUUGAACGCUGGCGGCAUGCCUUACACAUGCAAGUCGAACGGCAGCACGGGAGCUUGCUCCUGGUGGCGAGUGGCGAACGGGUGAGUAAUACAUCGGAACGUACCCUGAAGUGGGGGAUAACGUAGCGAAAGUUACGCUAAUACCGCAUAUUCUGUGAGCAGGAAAGAGGGGGAUCGCAAGACCUCUUGCUUUAGGAGCGGCCGAUGUCGGAUUAGCUAGUUGGUGAGGUAAAGGCUCACCAAGGCGACGAUCCGUAGCGGGUCUGAGAGGAUGAUCCGCCACACUGGGACUGAGACACGGCCCAGACUCCUACGGGAGGCAGCAGUGGGGAAUUUUGGACAAAUGGGCGCAAGCCUGAUCCAGCCAUGCCGCGUGAGUGAAGAAAGGCCUCGG